CUUACACAUGCAAGUCGAGGGGCAGCACGAGGUAGCAAUACUUUGGUGGCGACCGGCGCACGGGUGAGUAACGCGUAUGCAACCUUCCUUUUACAGGAGGAUAGCUUCCGGAAACGGAAAUUAAUACUCCAUACAAUUACGAAGUGGCAUCACUUUCAGAUUAAAGCUACGGCGGUAAAAGAUGGGCAUGCGUAACAUUAGCUAGUUGGUGAGGUAAAGGCUCACCAAGGCGACGAUGUUUAGGGGUCCUGAGAGGGUUAUCCCCCACACUGGUACUGAGACACGGACCAGACUCCUACGGGAGGCAGCAGUGAGGAAUAUUGGUCAAUGGGCGCAAGCCUGAACCAGCCAUCCCGCGUGCAUGAAGACGGCCCUAUGGGUUGUAAACUGCUUUUCUGAGGGAAGAAUAACGCUGAUUCGUUCAGUGGACGACGGUACCUCAGGAAUAAGCAUCGGCUAACUCCGUGCCAGCAGCCGCUGUAAUACGGAGGAUGCAAGCGUUAUCCGGAUUCAUUGGGUUUAAGGGGUGCGUAGGCGGACUGGUAAGUCAGUGGUGAAAUCCUGCAGCUUAACUGUGGAAUUGCCAUUGAAACUGUCAGUCUUGAGUCAGGUUGAGGUAGGCGGAAUGUGUAAUGUAGCGGUGAACUGCUUAGAUAUUACACAGAACACCGAUUGCGUAGGCAGCUUACUGGACCUGCACUGACGCUGAGGCACGAAAGCGUGGGGAUCAA
Molecule: ribosomal RNA, 731 nt
Filed under: uncultured organism
Description: bacterial SSU rRNA
Rfam family: Bacterial small subunit ribosomal RNA
Source: RNAcentral